GGUCGCGUAGUCUAGUGGUUAUGACGUUUCGUUUACAAUGGGAUUGCUGCCGAAAAGGUCCCCGGUUCGACCCCGGGCGUGACCA
This is a non-coding RNA of Neohortaea acidophila, 85 nucleotides long. The record is from the annotation of a RefSeq genome assembly. NCBI's taxonomy places the organism in Eukaryota, Fungi, Ascomycota, Dothideomycetes, Mycosphaerellales, Teratosphaeriaceae.